RNAcentral lists this transfer RNA (95 nucleotides) under Nannizzia gypsea. Its description in RNAcentral is "tRNA-Asp". It matches the Rfam family "tRNA". From Rfam's summary of the family: Transfer RNA (tRNA) molecules are approximately 80 nucleotides in length. RNAcentral also lists the same sequence under 1 other name. The record is from RNAcentral. Lineage: Eukaryota; Fungi; Ascomycota; Eurotiomycetes; Onygenales; Arthrodermataceae.
UCCUUGAUGGUCUAGUGGUCAUGAUUUCCGCUUGUCAAUUCUCGAUUAGAGAAUAACAAGCGCGGGAGACCGGGGUUCGAUUCCCCGUCAGGGAG